Molecule: ribosomal RNA, 621 nt
Filed under: uncultured Actinobacteridae bacterium
Lineage: Bacteria; Bacillati; Actinomycetota; Actinomycetes
Description: bacterial SSU rRNA
Rfam family: Bacterial small subunit ribosomal RNA
Source: RNAcentral
GUGAGGUAACGGCUCACCAAGGCAAUGACGGGUAGCGGGUCUGAGAGGAUGGUCCGCCACACUGGGACUGAGACACUGCCCAGACUCCUACGGGAGGCUGCAGUCGAGGAUCUUCCACAAUGGACGAAAGUCUGAUGGAGCGACGCUGCGUGCAGGAUGAAGGCCUUAGGGUUGUAAACUGCUGUCACGCUAUAGGAACCGUUAGUCGUUAAUAGCGGCUAGCCUGACCAAAGCGAGAGGAAGUGCCGGCUAACUCCGUGCCAGCAGCCGCGGUAAGACGGAGGGCGCAAGCGUUGUUCGGAAUCACUGGGCAUAAAGAGCACGUAGGCGGCUUAUUAAGUCAGGUGUGAAAGCCCUGGGCUCAACCCGGGAACUGCACUUGAUACUGAUGAGCUUGAGGAGAGCAGGGGUGAGUGGAACUCCAGGUGGAACGGUGAAAUGUGUAGAUAUCUGGAGGAACACCGGUGGCGAAAGCGGCUCACUGGGCUCUCUCUGACGCUAAGGUGCGAAAGCUAGGGUAGCGAACGGGAUUAGAUACCCCGGUAGUCCUAGCCGUAAACGAUGGGCACUAGGCAUUGGAUUAUCCUAUGAGAUUCAAUGCCGUAGCUAAUGUGUUAAGUG